This 548-nucleotide ribosomal RNA is filed under the name uncultured bacterium. Its description in RNAcentral is "bacterial SSU rRNA". It matches the Rfam family "Bacterial small subunit ribosomal RNA", at positions 774 to 1325 of the family's 1533-position model. The record is from RNAcentral.
AGAGAAUAGAUACCCUGGUAGUCCACGCCGUAAACUAUGGAUGCUAGCUGUUAUGAGUAUCGACCCUCGUAGUAGCGUAGCUAACGCGUUAAGCAUCCCGCCUGUGGAGUACGGUCGCAAGACUAAAACAUAAAGGAAUUGACGGGGACCCGCACAAGCGGUGGAGCGUGUUGUUUAAUUCGAUGGUAAGCGAAGAACCUUACCCAGGCUUGACAUCCUGCCAAGGUCUCCGAAAGGAGAUUGUGCCUUCGGGCCGCAGUGACAGGUGAUGCAUGGCCGUCGUCAGCUCGUGUCGUGAGAUGUUUGGUUAAGUCCAUCAACGAGCGCAACCCUUAUAGUUAGUUGUAUUUCUCUAGCUAGACUGCCCUGGUAACAGGGAGGAAGGGGGGUAGUGAUGUCAGGUCAGUAUUUCCCUUACGUCUGGGCGUACAAACACGCUACAAUGGCCGGUACAAAGGGCGUGCCAACCCGCGAGGGGGAGGCAAAUACCCACUCAAACGACCGGUCCUCAGUUCGGUAUAAGAGGCUGAAACUCGCCUCUUUGUAAG